AUUCCUUCCCCGCAUCUGCUAGAGAGCAGGGCAAGGCCAAAGGGUCAGAGGCUCGAGGAAUGCGGGGUGGUGUCGGGGGGUAAAAGGACAUACCUGAGAAGGCCCCAGACCCUCGCUCCACCAGGAGCUGGUGAGAGGCAGACCAAGCCUGAAAGCAAGAAUGCCUGACAACCAUAUCCGUGCUCCCUGUCCCAGUCCACCACCUUCCCACCCAUGCUGCAAAGCUGUGUGACCUCUAACAGGUUACCUCCACUCUCUGGACCUUUGUGUUCUCAUCUAUAAAGUGACAGUCAGUCAACGAGCCCAUGCUGAGCCUCUGCUAUCUGCAGGAGCUGUGCCAGGCACCAGCAGCCAGAUAAGCGUGGCUCGAAGGUCCCACGGCUCUCCCUCUUCCUGAGUGGGCACUCGGCACCAGGGCUGACGAAAGAGACAGAGAACACUGGGGGAAGCAUCUCACACACCUUUGGCAGAACCAGCUCAGCUCCCUGACUUUUGGGACUCCUGGCCUCCCAGCGCUCCUGCUCCCACUGUAUCACAGCCUGAAGCUACUUCCAGGAACUUUCCUAGAGUGGCUGGUGUCUAAAGGUUGCCUCUGGACAAUCUCUCCCCAGAUCACCUGAUGCCUGAGCAUGGGAAAUUGGGUCCUCUGGCUAACCAGAGGUCAUAUCUGUGAAUUCUUUUCAUCCCUCCUAGCAGCUGGGGUGUUAUACAUCAAAGUGGCUGCCACAGCAUCUGGCCCACAGUAGGUCUUAACAAGUAUCUGUCCAUGGACGGAUGGACAGAUAAAUGGAUGGAUGGAUGGAUGGAUGGAUGAGGGAAUGGCUAGAAGGGUGAUUAGGAGACUCAAGGAUGAAGGGGUGCUAUUCAGGAGGCCUUGGUGACACAGGCAGGAGAUGGGGGAGGCCCAUGCAGAGCUCAGCUUACUGACCCCAGCUUACUGACAGUGCCAGUCUCCCGCUGAGGCUCUGCGAGACACACAGCACACUGGCAGGAACAGAGGCUGUGAGCCAUCACAGCAGGUAAUGAUGAGCCCCUGCUACCUGCCUGGUCAGCUCCCACUGAGCUGAGCGGCAGCUCCAACCAAGGCUGCCUCAUGUGUCUCGGCAGAGCCGGGACGGGCUGGGCCUGAGCCUGGGCCUGGGCCUGGAUGUCCAAUGAUAUGGUUUGGCUCUGUGUCCCCACCCAAAUCUCAUGUGGAAUUGCAAUCUCCAUAUUGGGGUUGAGAUCUGGUAGGAGGUGAUUGAAUCAUGGGUGCAGAUUUCCCCCUUGCUGUUCUCAUGAUAGUGAGUUUUCACGAGAUCUGGUUGUUUGCAAGUGUGUUGCUCUUCCCCCUUUUCUCUCUGUCUCCUGUUGCCAUGUGAAGAUGUGCCUGCUUCCCCUUCACUUCCUGCCAUGAUUGUAAGUUUCCCAAGGCCUCCCCAGCCAUAGUUCCUGUACAGCCUGUGGAACUGCGAGUCAAUUAAACCUCUUUUCUUCAUAAAUUACCCAGUCUCGGGUAGUUCUUUAUAGUAGUGUGAGAACAGACUAAUACAGCCAAUGUCUGUGGCAGGCCCUGGAACACCCAGAGCAUCAUCCACUGCCCCUUCUCUAAUGGACACAGCCCUAAGACUAGACUUGCCACAUGAAAUACCGAUGCAAUACAGGGGCCAUACUUAUAUGAAGAAUGAUGCAUUUUU
Molecule: long non-coding RNA, 1676 nt
Filed under: Homo sapiens (human)
Lineage: Eukaryota; Metazoa; Chordata; Mammalia; Primates; Hominidae
Description: non-protein coding lnc-TMEM185B-10:3
Source: RNAcentral